UGUGACCUCAAAUCAGGUAGGACUACCCGCUGAACUUAAGCAUAUCAAUAAGCGGAGGAAAAGAAACUAACAAGGAUUCCCCUAGUAACUGCGAGUGAAGCGGGAAAAGCUCAAAUUUAAAAUCUGGCGGUCUUUUGGCUGUCCGAGUUGUAAUCUAGAGAAGUGUUAUCCGCGCUGGACCGUGUACAAGUCUCCUGGAAUGGAGCAUCAUAGAGGGUGAGAAUCCCGUCUUUGACAUGGACUGCCAGGGCUUUGUGAUGCGCUCUCAAAGAGUCGAGUUGUUUGGGAAUGCAGCUCAAAAUGGGUGGUAAAUUCCAUCUAAAGCUAAAUAUUGGCGAGAGACCGAUAGCGAACAAGUACCGUGAGGGAAAGAUGAAAAGAACUUUGGAAAGAGAGUUAAACAGUACGUGAAAUUGCUGAAAGGGAAACGCUUGAAGUCAGUCGCGUCAUCCAGGGAUCAACCUUGCUUUUGCUUGGUGCACUUUCUGGUUUGAUGGGUCAGCAUCAGUUUUGAUCAUUGGAAAAAGGCUCUGGGGAAUGUGGCAUCUUUGGAUGUGUUAUAGCCCCUGGUCAUAUACAAUGGUUGGGAUUGAGGAACUCAGCACGCCGCAAG
This 613-nucleotide ribosomal RNA is filed under the name Cortinarius alnetorum. RNAcentral describes it as "eukaryotic LSU rRNA". It matches the Rfam family "Eukaryotic large subunit ribosomal RNA", at positions 1 to 609 of the family's 3401-position model. Lineage: Eukaryota; Fungi; Basidiomycota; Agaricomycetes; Agaricales; Cortinariaceae. The record is from RNAcentral.